Molecule: ribosomal RNA, 253 nt
Filed under: uncultured bacterium
Lineage: Bacteria
Description: partial 16S ribosomal RNA
Rfam family: Bacterial small subunit ribosomal RNA
Source: RNAcentral
UACAGAGGGUGCGAGCGUUAAUCGGAAUUACUGGGCGUAAAGCGCGCGUAGGCGGCUUUGCAAGUCGGGUGUGAAAUCCCCAGGCUUAACCUGGGAACUGCAUUCGAGACUGCAUUGCUAGAGUAUGGGAGAGGGAAGUGGAAUUCCAGGUGUAGCGGUGAAAUGCGUAGAUAUCUGGAGGAACACCGGUGGCGAAGGCGGCAUCCUGGACCGGUAUUGACGCUGAGGCGCGAAAGCCAGGGGAGCAAACGGG